This is a non-coding RNA of Meleagris gallopavo (turkey), 218 nucleotides long. Lineage: Eukaryota; Metazoa; Chordata; Aves; Galliformes; Phasianidae. The record is from RefSeq and is a predicted model, not a curated record.
CUGGCUGACCCACCUUGCUGCUGCCCUCAGAUCUUCCACCCGGAGACCACCGACAUCUACGACAAGAAGAACAUGCCCAGGGCGGUGUACUGCCUCCACGCGCUCAGUCUGUACCUGUUCAAGCUGGGCUUGGCCCCGCAGAUCCAGGACCUGUCUGGGAAGGUGGACUUCACGGAGGAGGAGAUCAGCGACGCGGGGCGGGAGCUGGAGAAGCUGGG